GACGAACGCUGGCGGCGUGCCUAAUACAUGCAAGUAGGACGCACAGUCUAUACCGUAGCUUGCUACACCAUAGGCUGUGAGUUGCGAACGGGUGAGCAACGCGUAGGUAACCUGCCUAUUAGAGGGGGAUAACUAUUGGAAACGAUAGCUAAUACCGCAUAACAGUAUGUAACACAUGUUAGAUGCUUGAAAGAUGCAAUUGCAUCGCUAGUAGAUGGACCUGCGUUGUAUUAGCUAGUAGGUAGGGUAAUGGCCUACCUAGGCGACGAUACAUAGCCGACCUGAGAGGGUGAUCGGCCACACUGGGACUGAGACACGGCCCAGACUCCUACGGGAGGCAGCAGUAGGGAAUCUUCGGCAAUGGGGGGAACCCUGACCGAGCAACGCCGCGUGAGUGAAGAAGGUUUUCGGAUCGUAAAGCUCUGUUGUUAAGGAAGAACGAGUGUGAGAAUGGGAAGUUCAUACUGUGACGGUACUUAACCAGAAAGGGACGGCUAACUACGUG
RNAcentral lists this ribosomal RNA (505 nucleotides) under uncultured bacterium. RNAcentral's name for it is "partial 16S ribosomal RNA". It matches the Rfam family "Bacterial small subunit ribosomal RNA", at positions 28 to 507 of the family's 1533-position model. The record is from RNAcentral.